CUAAUACAUGCAAGUCGAGCGAGCGGAACCAACAGAUUUACUUCGGUAAUGACGUUGGGAAAGCGAGCGGCGGAUGGGUGAGUAACACGUGGGGAACCUGCCCCUAAGUCUGGGAUACCAUUUGGAAACAGGUGCUAAUACCGGAUAAUAAAGCAGAUCGCAUGAUCAGCUUUUGAAAGGCGGCGUAAGCUGUCGCUAAGGGAUGGCCCCGCGGUGCAUUAGCUAGUUGGUAAGGUAACGGCUUACCAAGGCGACGAUGCAUAGCCGAGUUGAGAGACUGAUCGGCCACAUUGGGACUGAGACACGGCCCAAACUCCUACGGGAGGCAGCAGUAGGGAAUCUUCCACAAUGGACGCAAGUCUGAUGGAGCAACGCCGCGUGAGUGAAGAAGGUUUUCGGAUCGUAAAGCUCUGUUGUUGGUGAAGAAGGAUAGAGGUAGUAACUGGCCUUUAUUUGACGGUAAUCAACCAGAAAGUCACGGCUAACUACGUGCCAGCAGCCGCGGUAAUACGUAGGUGGCAAGCGUUGUCCGGAUUUAUUGGGCGUAAAGCGAGCGCAGGCGGAAAAAUAAGUCUAAUGUGAAAGCCCUCGGCUUAACCGAGGAACUGCAUCGGAAACUGUUUUUCUUGAGUGCAGAAGAGGAGAGUGGACUCCAUGUGUAGCGGUGGAAUGCGUAGAUAUAUGGAAGAACACCAGUGGCGAAGGCGGCUCUCUGGUCUG
This 720-nucleotide ribosomal RNA is filed under the name uncultured Bacilli bacterium. RNAcentral describes it as "bacterial SSU rRNA". It matches the Rfam family "Bacterial small subunit ribosomal RNA", at positions 48 to 736 of the family's 1533-position model. Lineage: Bacteria; Bacillati; Bacillota; Bacilli. The record is from RNAcentral.